Molecule: ribosomal RNA, 311 nt
Filed under: uncultured Coriobacteriaceae bacterium
Lineage: Bacteria; Bacillati; Actinomycetota; Coriobacteriia; Coriobacteriales; Coriobacteriaceae
Description: partial 16S ribosomal RNA
Rfam family: Bacterial small subunit ribosomal RNA
Source: RNAcentral
UGGGGAAUUUUUGCGCAAUGGGGGGCAACCCUGACGCAGCGACGCCGCGUGCGGGACGAAGUCAUUCGUGACGUAAACCGCUUUUCAGCGAGGAAGAACCAUGACGGUACUCGCAGAAGAAGCCCCGGCUAACUACGUGCCAGCAGCCGCGGUAAUACGUAGGGGGCGAGCGUUAUCCGGAAUCAUUGGGCGUAAAGCGCGCGCAGGCGGGCUUUCAAGCGGCGGCGUCGAAGCCGGGGGCUCAACCCCCGGAAGCGCCCCGAACUGGAAGCCUCGGAUGCGGCAGGGGGAGGCGGAAUUCCCGGUGUAGC